GUUACGUGUUCUGAACUGGUUAGAUAAUAGACCCAUUCAAAUUGCCUUCACUCCUGAGUCUUUGAGUGUCAGGUUUAAGCUGUUGACCGAUGAGGUCCCUUAUGCUUGUGAGCCUGUUAGAUUCUAUACACAUAUGAAUCUUCCUCAUAUUCGAUUAUCUGAUUGUCAGAUUCAAGCCGAUGACAUAUGAGGGUUGGUCCUUGCCAUAUCAAUCAAGUCCCAUUGAAAUAUUAUUCAUACAUCUUUGAUUGACCUUGUUUGUGCAGACAAUAUGAUCUGAAAUGAAGAGAUUUCACCCCUGACGAAGUCUUGGAAUAAGACAAAACGCGUUGGUUUAUUUGUCUCUCUUUUAUCUGAUGUUACCUCCAAAUCUUCAAUAAGGAGGAGGAAACUGUAGUGACAGAUCUACAUUUUUCCUCAUUACCACAAGCAGAUUGUUCAAACUUUACGAUAAAUGUAUCAACUCUGUAUAUGCAUGGAUAUUGGUGUUAUGUUUUAAUAAAUUUUU
Molecule: long non-coding RNA, 508 nt
Organism: Pseudophryne corroboree (corroboree frog)
Lineage: Eukaryota; Metazoa; Chordata; Amphibia; Anura; Myobatrachidae
Exons: 4
Source: RefSeq, a predicted model, not a curated record